Molecule: long non-coding RNA, 847 nt
Filed under: Homo sapiens (human)
Lineage: Eukaryota; Metazoa; Chordata; Mammalia; Primates; Hominidae
Description: HSALNT0305161
Source: RNAcentral
UAAAGUAUAAUUUUUUUAAAAAAAGAAAAAAUUUACUGUGGUGUUGGAGGGGUGAAAGCAUAACUAAAGAGGUUCUCAAUAGUGCAAGGACUGGGAACAUUGAUGUAGCAGAGAACUGGUUUCGAAUCCUGGCUCUAUCUCUUCUCGCUCUGUGAAUUAGCUUACCUUAACUUUUCCGAUCCAGAUUCCUCCUGUUAUAAAGUGAGAUAAUAUCAGCCUCUCUGGGCAGUUGUGAGAAUAAGGAGUAUAGCAAAUAGCAUAGCACCUAAUGCAUAGUGGAUUGUCCUCCAUGCAGGUGAAGUUCCGAUGAGGAUGAUGGUGGGGAUGAUGAUGAUGAUAAUAAUGGUGAUGCUGAUGAUGGUGAUGGAGAUACUAACAAUGAUAAUGAAGAUGAUAUGAUGAUGAUGAUAAUGGUGUAGUGACGGUGACAAUGAUGAUGGUCAUGGUGAUGAUGACAAUGAAGACUUCUCAUCCACAGAGAUUCUGGCUUAAUUGGUUUGCGGCCUUAAUAUUACUUCGAUAACCAGGACCUCUGAUAACCUGCCCCCACCGAGUAAAGACUUAGCUGGGAAAGUCAGCUUCAUGUGAGGUAAAAGGAACCAGCCCUCUUGUGCAUGCUUUCCUGCCUUUCCACCUUCUGCUAUGGGAUGACACAGCAAGAAGGCCCUCACCAGAUGCAGCUCCUUGAUCUUGGACUUUCCAGCCUCCAGAACUGUAAGCCAAACAAAUUUCUGUUUAUUAUAAAUUACCCAGUCUCAGGUAUUCUGUUCUAGAAGCACGAAAUGGACUAAGAUCAUUAGAUUAUCAUUUUUUAUCAGACUGUUGAAGUGAAAAAUAAAAAUCAAAU